UACGUAGGGUGCAAGCGUUGUCCGGAAUUAUUGGGCGUAAAGAGCUCGUAGGCGGUCUGUCGCGUCGGCUGUGAAAUCCCGAGGCUCAACCUCGGGUCUGCAGUCGAUACGGGCAAACUAGAGUAUUGCAGGGGAGACUGGAAUUCCUGGUGUAGCGGUGAAAUGCGUAGAUAUCUGGAGGAACACCGGUGGCGAAGGCGGCAUCCUGGACCGGUAUUGACGCUGAUGCGCGAAAGCCAGGGGAGCAAACGGG
Molecule: ribosomal RNA, 253 nt
Filed under: uncultured bacterium
Lineage: Bacteria
Description: partial 16S ribosomal RNA
Rfam family: Bacterial small subunit ribosomal RNA
Source: RNAcentral